RNAcentral lists this ribosomal RNA (468 nucleotides) under uncultured bacterium. RNAcentral describes it as "partial 16S ribosomal RNA". It matches the Rfam family "Bacterial small subunit ribosomal RNA", at positions 28 to 507 of the family's 1533-position model. The record is from RNAcentral.
GACGAACGCUGGCGGCGUGCUUAACACAUGCAAGUCGAACGGAAAGGCCCUGCUUUUGUGGGGUGCUCGAGUGGCGAACGGGUGAGUAACACGUGAGUAACCUGCCCUUGACUUUGGGAUAACUUCAGGAAACUGGGGCUAAUACCGGAUAGGAGCUCCUGCUGCAUGGUGGGGGUUGGAAAGUUUCGGCGGUUGGGGGUGGACUCGCGGCUUAUCAGCUUGUUGGUGGGGUAGUGGCUUACCAAGGCUUUGACGGGUAGCCGGCCUGAGAGGGUGACCGGCCACAUUGGGACUGAGAUACGGCCCAGACUCCUACGGGAGGCAGCAGUGGGGAAUAUUGCACAAUGGGAGGAAGCCUGAUGCAGAAACGCCGCGUGCGGGAUGACGGCCUUCGGGUUGUAAACCGCUUUAGCCUGUGACGAAGCGUGAGUGACGGUAAUGGGUAAAGAAGCACCGGCUAACUACGUG